This 85-nucleotide transfer RNA is filed under the name Felis catus (domestic cat). It matches the Rfam family "tRNA". Rfam says of the family: Transfer RNA (tRNA) molecules are approximately 80 nucleotides in length. The record is from Rfam by way of RNAcentral. Lineage: Eukaryota; Metazoa; Chordata; Mammalia; Carnivora; Felidae.
GCCUGGGUGGCUCAGUCGGUUGGGCAUCCGACUUCAGCUCAGGUCACGAUCUCACGGUUCGUGAGUUUGAGCCCCACUUCAGGCU